Molecule: long non-coding RNA, 1174 nt
Filed under: Homo sapiens (human)
Lineage: Eukaryota; Metazoa; Chordata; Mammalia; Primates; Hominidae
Description: HSALNT0093017
Source: RNAcentral
CCUGAGUUCAGGAAAGAGACAUUAUAUCAUACUCAUCCCAAAAACUCAGUAGUUUGUUGCUGAGACAUUGUUAUCCCUUUGGAAGUCAGGAUUGCCAGUUCAGCGCUUGGGAAGUCAUUUAAUUUCUCCAGACAGUAGAUACAAAAGAAAGACACUUAGAAGGAGCCAGCGGUGUGUCUGUCAUCAGCCUGAAAGCUGGGAUUGUAGACCCCAAGUUGCAGACAGAGUACGGCGUGUGAUUAAGGGAAUGUCCUGCCUCUUUGAUGUGAGUCCAAGGCAGAGGAGUUCCACCAGAGAAAAAGGUGGGAGCUCAGGGGCUUGCCUUGAAUAGGCAACAAAAUCAGAUGAAUAGCUGAAAGUAGCUAACUUUGGCAGAAGACAUGGUACAAAAAGGCCUUCAUCACAGCACGGCAAAAUGCACCACAUAGAAGGCCUACCUCUUUAUAAAGACACAAGCUCAGCUGAUGUGCAUGAUUCUGGCAACUGACACAGAAAGAAUGUUUGUCCUUAAGCUGAAAUUUGAAACAAAUGUUCACUCUUUUCUCCAAGGCACACUCAGGAAAGAUAUUGUGAUCUUUCUUUCCAUGUAUAAGGAAAAGGAAGCAUACAAACAGAAUGAUGUUUGUCCCAAGCCCACAUAACAGUCAGUAUCAGGAAGACAAUAAAAAUAUAUGUGCCUCUGGCUCCCAGAAUACUGGAAUAUUUGGAAAAUAACAAGGUGAAGCUUGCCACCUAUUUCCUUUCUGUGAGUCAAAAAUAGAAAAUGCAAAAUUAUGACAUAGACUCCAUUCUAAUAAUACAAACACCAACUCUAUAUUUUAUGCUUAUAUAAAAAUUAAACAUUAAAUUUAAAUAUUUAAAUUCCCUCUAUGGAUUGCCAUGUGAAUAAUAUAUUUAAAGGUGCUAAUGCAUGAUAUAAGCAUAAUAAUUACCUAAUAAUUAAUAUCACAAAUUCUUGUUUAUUUUAUGAUCAGAUCCUUCUAGUGGCCAUUUUGGCUAUUGUGUGAAUAUCUUUAAUAUAACAAAUAGUUUUAAUAAGCCAUUUAUUGUCAUAUAAUUAUUCAUAAUAAAGAAUCACUGAGUAUUUAACUAUGUAUCAGAAAAUGUAAUGAAUACAAAUCUACCCUCACUUGGCCCUGAAAUUUCUUGAAAUCGAAAUGUCUUCAAAGUUACU